UACGGAGGGUGCAAGCGUUAUCCGGAUUCACUGGGUUUAAAGGGUGCGUAGGUGGGUUGGUAAGUCAGUGGUGAAAUCCCCGAGCUUAACUUGGGAACUGCCAUUGAUACUAUUAAUCUUGAAUACCGUGGAGGUUAGCGGAAUAUGUCAUGUAGCGGUGAAAUGCUUAGAUAUGACAUAGAACACCAAUUGCGAAGGCAGCUGGCUACAUGAAUAUUGACACUGAUGCACGAAAGCGUGGGGAUCAAACAGG
RNAcentral lists this ribosomal RNA (253 nucleotides) under uncultured bacterium. Its description in RNAcentral is "partial 16S ribosomal RNA". It matches the Rfam family "Bacterial small subunit ribosomal RNA", at positions 524 to 776 of the family's 1533-position model. The record is from RNAcentral.